GGUCGGGUAGCUCCGUUGGUAUGAGCAGUCGCCUCAAAGCGAAAGGCAGCCGGUUCGAUUCCGGCCCCGGACC
This 73-nucleotide transfer RNA is filed under the name Mycobacteroides abscessus subsp. massiliense. RNAcentral's name for it is "tRNA-???(ca)". It matches the Rfam family "tRNA". Rfam says of the family: Transfer RNA (tRNA) molecules are approximately 80 nucleotides in length. Their secondary structure includes four short double-helical elements and three loops (D, anti-codon, and T loops). Further hydrogen bonds mediate the characteristic L-shaped molecular structure. tRNAs have two regions of fundamental functional importance: the anti-codon, which is responsible for specific mRNA codon recognition, and the 3' end, to which the tRNAs corresponding amino acid is attached (by aminoacyl-tRNA synthetases). tRNAs cope with the degeneracy of the genetic code in two manners: having more than one tRNA (with a specific anti-codon) for a particular amino acid; and 'wobble' base-pairing, i.e. permitting non-standard base-pairing at the 3rd anti-codon position. The record is from RNAcentral. Lineage: Bacteria; Bacillati; Actinomycetota; Actinomycetes; Mycobacteriales; Mycobacteriaceae.